RNAcentral lists this long non-coding RNA (263 nucleotides) under Nicotiana benthamiana. Its description in RNAcentral is "long non-coding RNA (NBEN_LNC029734)". The record is from RNAcentral. Lineage: Eukaryota; Viridiplantae; Streptophyta; Magnoliopsida; Solanales; Solanaceae.
UUUUUUUGAAAAAUCAGUAACGACUCUUUGCAAAAAGUAGUCGUUUGGAACUUUGUAAAAUAGUCAUUUGGCCCCAAACUUUAAUUUAACCCAAAACUUUAUAUAAUUACACUUUUUCUCAUUUCUCAACUAUAAAUACUCCAUCAUUCUUUUAUUUUUAUUCACCAAUUCAUCAAUAUCUCUCAAUCUCUCUCAAGCUCUCUUUCAAUCUUUCUAGUGCAAGUGCUUAAUUUAUUGUUGCAAAUUCGUGAAACAUUGUGAAG